Molecule: transfer RNA, 69 nt
Filed under: Australolacerta australis
Lineage: Eukaryota; Metazoa; Chordata; Lepidosauria; Squamata; Lacertidae
Description: tRNA-Tyr
Rfam family: tRNA
About the family: Transfer RNA (tRNA) molecules are approximately 80 nucleotides in length. Their secondary structure includes four short double-helical elements and three loops (D, anti-codon, and T loops).
Source: RNAcentral
GGUAGGAUGGCUGAAUAUUUAGGCGUGGGGCUGUAAACCUCAACAUGGGGAUGUUCCCCUCUUGCCAAG